This 386-nucleotide ribosomal RNA is filed under the name Salmonella enterica subsp. enterica serovar Goldcoast. Its description in RNAcentral is "partial 23S ribosomal RNA". It matches the Rfam family "Bacterial large subunit ribosomal RNA", at positions 2417 to 2802 of the family's 2925-position model. Lineage: Bacteria; Pseudomonadati; Pseudomonadota; Gammaproteobacteria; Enterobacterales; Enterobacteriaceae. The record is from RNAcentral.
GAUCCGGUGGUUCUGAAUGGAAGGGCCAUCGCUCAACGGAUAAAAGGUACUCCGGGGAUAACAGGCUGAUACCGCCCAAGAGUUCAUAUCGACGGCGGUGUUUGGCACCUCGAUGUCGGCUCAUCACAUCCUGGGGCUGAAGUAGGUCCCAAGGGUAUGGCUGUUCGCCAUUUAAAGUGGUACGCGAGCUGGGUUUAGAACGUCGUGAGACAGUUCGGUCCCUAUCUGCCGUGGGCGCUGGAGAACUGAGGGGGGCUGCUCCUAGUACGAGAGGACCGGAGUGGACGCAUCACUGGUGUUCGGGUUGUCAUGCCAAUGGCACUGCCCGGUAGCUAAAUGCGGAAGAGAUAAGUGCUGAAAGCAUCUAAGCACGAAACUUGCCCCGA